Molecule: long non-coding RNA, 735 nt
Organism: Quercus robur (English oak)
Lineage: Eukaryota; Viridiplantae; Streptophyta; Magnoliopsida; Fagales; Fagaceae
Exons: 2
Source: RefSeq, a predicted model, not a curated record
CACCCACCUGAACUUUCAAGUAGUAGCCAUAACACCCCCCUUGAACUUUAAUUUUAGCCGAUAUACUUCUUAAACUUUAGACACCUGCCAAAUCAAUACAUCUGUUAUUCUUCUAUUAAUAAACUAACGGAGAAACUCACGUGAGAGGCACUUGGGAAUAAAAACCAAAGCUGAACAGCCUGAACCAAUGAGAGAGAGGGAGAAAGUUUGGGCUCUGUUUAGAGAGAGAGAGAGAGAGAGGGGAGAUGAUCCAACCAGAAGUCCAUAACCACCUCGGUAUCCUCUCUCCGGUGCCAGAGUUCCACCAUCGUCUCACUGACUGUUCACAGCUACCAUGGAUAAAUGUCUACUGUCACUUCCUACAAAUUCAUCCGAUGAGGAUGGGAAUUCAAGGCCUAGGUUCCAUGAGUUUAACCAACACACUGGCAUGAAGAAUGUAUAGCUAACAGAUGGACUCAAAUUUGUAUCACAUGUAGUCUUCAAGGAGGCACUAAAGGAGAGGUGUAUUACAGAAAAUCAUGAUUAGGAAUAAGUGAAGAGUAACAACUAGAUGUAAAAAAAAUUUCUAAUAAAAAAAAAGUGGUUGGAAGAUAGGUGCAUCCCAAACACAAAUGGGUGUUAUUUUUUUGAAACAAUUUACUAUUUGUAAACGCUCAUUGUUUUAAGAACAAAAUUUCUCUCUAAACUAGUUUGGAAAGAAACUUUUCAAACUUCUUAUAUAUCUUUUUUUUUUUU